Molecule: ribosomal RNA, 468 nt
Filed under: uncultured bacterium
Lineage: Bacteria
Description: partial 16S ribosomal RNA
Rfam family: Bacterial small subunit ribosomal RNA
Source: RNAcentral
GACGAACGCUGGCGGCGUGCUUAACACAUGCAAGUCGAACGGAAAGGCCCUGCUUUUGUGGGGUGCUCGAGUGGCGCACGGGUGAGUAACACGUGAGUAACCUGCCCCUGUCUUUGGGAUAACUUCUGGAAACUGGGGCUAAUACCGGAUAUGAGCUCCUGCUGCAUGGUGGGGGUUGGAAAGUUUCGGCGGUUGUGGAUGGACUCGCGGCUUAUCAGCUGGUUGGUGGGGUAGUGGUUUACCAAGGUUUCGACGGAUAGCCGGCCUGGGAGGUGGACCGGCGACAAUGGGACUGAGAGACGGCGCAGACGGCAACGGGAGGCAACAGGGGGGAAUAUUGCACAGUGGGCGGAAGCCUGAUGCAGCGACGUCGCGUGCGGGAAGACGGCCUUCGGGUGAUAAACCGCUUUCGCCGGAGACGAAGCGGGAUUGACGGUACUUGGUAAAGAAGCACCGGCUAACUACGUG